RNAcentral lists this non-coding RNA (30 nucleotides) under Rattus norvegicus (Norway rat). Lineage: Eukaryota; Metazoa; Chordata; Mammalia; Rodentia; Muridae. The record is from RNAcentral.
UGAAAGAGUACUCUCUCAAAACUAGCCUGC